AUGGCGGAGGAACCAUCUGCCAAGCGUCCCCGUGGUGAGACGUCCGACCAGAGCACCAAGGUCGACGACAUUCAGGUCCACGGUCAGAAGCACGACUACAAAGUGCACCUCAAGGAGGUUGACAUCCACGGCAAGGAAAAGUUGGAUGUCAUAUGCACCAGCAAUCCUGACGAAGCCAACAAGAUGAUCAGCAGGAUCCUGAAGAGGGUAUGCGGCUUGUACCCUUAG
Molecule: ribosomal RNA, 228 nt
Filed under: Triticum aestivum (bread wheat)
Lineage: Eukaryota; Viridiplantae; Streptophyta; Magnoliopsida; Poales; Poaceae
Description: partial small subunit ribosomal RNA
Source: RNAcentral